CCUACGGGAGGCAGCAGUGGGGAAUAUUGCACAAUGGGGGAAACCCUGAUGCAGCGACGCCGCGUGAGUGAAGAAGUAUUUCGGAAUGUAAAGCUCUAUCAGCAGGGAAGAAAAAAGACGGUACCUGACUAAGAAGCCCCGGCUAACUACGUGCCAGCAGCCGCGGUAAUAAGUAGGGGGCAAGCGUUAUCCGGAUGUACUGGGGGUAAAGGGAGCGUAGACGGAGCGGCAAGUCUGAAGUGAAAGGCAGGGGGUUAACCCCUGAACUGCUUUGGAAAAUGCCAUGCUAGAGUGCUGGAGAGGUAAGUGGAAUUCCAAGUGUAGCGGUGAAAUGCGUAGAUAUUAGGAGGAACACCAGUGGCGAAGGCGGCUUACUGGACAGUAACUGACGUUGAGGCUCGAAAGCGUGGGGAGCAAACAGGAUUAGAUACCCUUGUAGUC
This 441-nucleotide ribosomal RNA is filed under the name uncultured bacterium. RNAcentral's name for it is "partial 16S ribosomal RNA". It matches the Rfam family "Bacterial small subunit ribosomal RNA", at positions 338 to 795 of the family's 1533-position model. The record is from RNAcentral.